Pipistrellus kuhlii (Kuhl's pipistrelle) is the source of this 347-nucleotide long non-coding RNA. RefSeq lists it as uncharacterized. Lineage: Eukaryota; Metazoa; Chordata; Mammalia; Chiroptera; Vespertilionidae. The record is from RefSeq and is a predicted model, not a curated record. The transcript is spliced from 2 exons.
UACCCAGCUUAAGGCCAGGAUAUUCAAAGACCAAAUCAGAUUCCUACCCUCAUCCCAGCUCAGUGCUGGAAACUGUUCUGAAUAAACAGAACCUACCACAUGCAAGGCACUCAGUAAAAAAUAAGUAUCAUUAAUGCUGCAACCCUGUGAAGAAAAUGCCAAAAAGCACCCGCGGUUUGAAGAAGGGGGAACCCUGUUGACAUGUCCUGCCUUUCUCCUGCUGUGUGCUCCUCUGUCGGCUGACUGCACCACAAUGUAUGCACCCAUUCUCCAUGCCCGGGCUUAUCAUUUCGCUUCCCAGUUUUUGCUACCAGGAAUCUCCCUGCAAGAAAAGUUUUUCGUGUGUG